UUUUUGUUAGAUUGUUUUGAGAUGAUCUAAAAGACAAACAUGACACAUGGGCGUAAGGAGAAGAAACAAGGAUUUCUUGCAUCUCCAUGAUUUCUAAAAGUAUUCAUUAUAAAUUGAUAUAAAAGUUUAUAUUUUUACAUCAAAAAAGAGUAAAAAGUAUGACUAAAUUUCUUAAAUUUAUUUAUGUUAUGAUCUUCUUUUUCUCCCUAUUUUUUAUUGUAAGGGGUGUAAGCGCUGCUGAAUCUGUGAUGUGUAUUGACGAUUAUGAUUGUCAAAAUUACUGUUUUCCACCGAUGCUAGAAAUUUGUAUCCAUACUCAAUGUAUGUGUAUGAAAUCAUUCAAGAAACUUUGAUUUAUAGUUAAUUAUUUCGUAAUUUAAGGCUUAUCAUUUUAUUUAUACAUCAUAAUUUUGUCUCUCUUAUGAUUAAUUUUACAUAUUAACUUAGAUUACUUUAACCUUUGAAUUUUCUUGAUAGAUGGUGAAAUGCAUCAAUCAGUUUUUCAAGUUGAAAUGUAUCAAUUAUAUCAUACGUGUUAUGAAAUUAAUCAUAAGCAAUAAGUAAAUUUAGUAGGAAAGUAGAGAUGAAGGAGGGAAAGAAAAAUUAAAAGAAUUUUAUUUGACAUAAAUAAAAUAACAUGUUUAACAUGAUUUAAAGAAA
This is a long non-coding RNA of Vicia villosa (hairy vetch), 660 nucleotides long. RefSeq lists it as uncharacterized. NCBI's taxonomy places the organism in Eukaryota, Viridiplantae, Streptophyta, Magnoliopsida, Fabales, Fabaceae. The record is from RefSeq and is a predicted model, not a curated record. The transcript has 2 exons.